AUUGUUGAGUGUUGUGAAGAGAGAUUGUUGGGUGUUCUGAAUUAUACUUAAGUAGUGCAAGAUUGUAACGGCUAUAUUUUACUUCAAAAGCAUUUCUAACGGUAAUAUUGAGAGGGAUAUAUUCACCAUUUUUUAUUUCAAACGUGUUUAUUGGUUCAUAGAAUUUUAGUAGAAUCAUAAAAAAUGACACAUUACAAAAAAC
This 202-nucleotide long non-coding RNA is filed under the name Brassica napus (rape). RNAcentral's name for it is "long non-coding RNA (BNAP_LNC004947)". The record is from RNAcentral. Lineage: Eukaryota; Viridiplantae; Streptophyta; Magnoliopsida; Brassicales; Brassicaceae.